CCUUUGUCUCCUCUGGACUCCGGGUUCCUGCCGGGUGGUGUAGGGCUGGUUUCCCCAACAUCUGGUGCCGAAUGCAGGGCUCCCCGUAAUCUCUACAAAUAAUCUGGUGAAGGAACGCCAGAGCGUGGAAAGUGGAGGAGGACUGAGGAAGGAAGCCUGAGUACGUUUUCACUUCAAGCUCUACGGGAGGAUUGAGUACUCCAGGGGGAGUGAAUGUGAUGGGUUAUGCCUAAGGCUGAAUGAAAGCUGCUGGGUUGCUUUAGCUGUGAAAGUGGUCCAUUAUCACUCUUCAGACUUUCAGGCCAUAACCACAGAUAAAAUUGUGACAUAUGUGGACCAUAUACCUAAGCAAAGGUGCCUUGGCCUGCCUACCAUGGACAAUUUUACAUGUCAUUGGGACCAGCACCAAGGGUCCUGCCCAAAGGAAAGAUUGUGACAUCUCACUGGACCAGGACCCACCUAGAUGUUGUGACCUUUCUGCUUGCUCUCUGCCCACAGAUGAUAUUGUUCCAUAUACCUAAGACCACUUAAGAGGACUAAUCAUGACUGUUAAAUCUGGAUCCAGUUCAUAUUCAACAUGGAGACUCCCAUUCCUCAAACUUUCCACCAAUGUUAUUAUGACAUAUACCGUUGCCCAGCUCUUGAGUGAUUUAAUACUGCUGCCUAGUUGUAGUCCUCAAAUGAAAUUUGGACAUAUACUUCAACUAAUCACCUUGAUGAUUUGACUCUCCUGCCUUAACAAUAUCUUCCAGAAGGAUUGUAACAGAUUUCUGGACACAUCAUCUAAUUAUCUGACACUCCUCUCUAACCUGGACCCUGCUUCCACUAGGGAUUGUAGCAUUUCUAAGCACUACAUCCAAAUUAUAUGACUCUCUUGCCUGGUCUUUUUAAGGGGAGUCUUUGUAACAUAUUUCUGGGCCUGUCAUUUAGGUGAUAUGGGUCUCCUCUUCUGCCUGGACACCACACACAGGGAUAUUGUGUUAUACAUCUUGAUGUAACCCCCAAGUUAUGCAACAUUUCUGCCCAGGACAUGAGUACAAGGAGAAUAUCGGAAAAUUUCUGACUCACUAUUUAGGUGACUUGGCUGUCAUUCCUGUUUCAUUACCACAAACUAAAUUGUGACAUAUACCCAAACACAGCUCAUGGGCAUGAUAAUGAUUCUCCUAUGUGGAUCCCACAAAUAGAAGUAAUUUUGACUCUCCUAACUUACUUUAGAGACAUGAGUGGUUAAAUCUCUAUCUGGUACAAAAAAAAAAUCAAAGAAGAUUACAACAGCUACAUAUUUUAUAAAGCCUUUAGCUUGUACAGAAAGCAUCACUACAGAACCCAGCAGAAGGUGAAACUGUGAGUCUCAAAUGCACACCCAGCUGACAGUAAAGACUAUCACCAUCUCACCUAUAUGAAGCUAACAGUCACUCAAGAAAACAGACCAUGUGUGAUAUUGUAAAUCUCAUCAUGGGAAUUUUCUGCUAGUGUUAUUGUGAUAUAAAUUUUGCUGAGCACCUGUGUGAUUUAAUUCUUCAUAAUGGUUCUGGCUCACAUAUUUUAUUAUACUGUCUACCUGUGCCUACUUCUACAUGAUGGGACUCUCCUGCCUGGGCCCUGCUCUCAGUAAGAAUCAUGACAUAUUAUUAGAUCUAGCACCUAGGUUAUGUUACAUUUUUGCCUUAGCCAUGCCCACAGAAAUUAUUGUGAUAUAUCACUGUGUCAACCACUUAGAUAAUGUAACUCUGCUCUUUAUAAUGGGCCCUACACAUAUUUGGGGAUAAUUACAUAUGGUUGAGCCAGGCACACAGGUGACAAUACUCUUUUGUUAGAGCCAUGUCCUAAAAAAAGCACUGUGACAAAUCUCUGGGCCAAUCUCUUAGGUAAUGUUGCUCUCCUGCUGGGGUCCUGCUUUCCUGAAUAGUGACAUAUUGCUACACCAGGCAUUGAAGUGAUGGUACUCUUUUGCCAGAGUCAUGUCUCAAGGAGAACAUUGUGACACAUCCUUGUGAGUAUCACCUAGGAAAUGUAACUCCCUGCUUCAGUGUGGCCCACAAAGGGCAUUGUGAUAUAAAGGUAGAAUCUAAACCAUUUGUUGUAACUCUCUUGUUUGACACUUGUCCUAAGGGAACCUUGUGACAUAUCUCAGGAACCAGGAUCAAGGUAAUGUGACCCUUCUGCCUGGCUUCACCUCACAUGUUAGAUUUUUUUCAUACAUCUAGCUAAACACCUAUGUAAUAUGACUCUUCUCUUCUGUCUGAGGCUUGCUUAUUUCAGACAUUGGGCCAUAUUUCUGAGCCAGUUUCCUAAGUGAUGUAAUUCUUUUCAUCUGCCUGAGCCUUUACAAUGGAGUGAUGUGACAUAUUGCUAAACCCAAUACUUAGUUUAUAUGACUCUUCUUUUUUUCCCAAAACAUACACAUGAAAAGGAAUUUUGACAUAUUGCAGGGCCCAGCACCCAAAUGAUGUUCCUCUUCUGCCUGGAUCCUGCAUAAAGAGAGAAUUAUGGCAUAUUGCUGUGUCCCCCACCCUGAUGCUGUAACUGUCUUGCUUGUGCCCAAGCAACAGAAAGUAUUUUUACAUAUCUUGGGCACAUGAGUUUACAGGCAUGAUGAUUAUAUCUAUAUUGGGAUUCUGCCAAUAGGAGAUAUUUUUCUCUCAUCGUUAACCUUAAAACAAUAGGUCCAGGCCACAGAUGAAAUUGUGCCAUACCUGGAACAAGCACUAAACCAAGUAUAACACCUUCCUUGGCUAUGCCUACAAAAUGGCACUUUUAUAUAUCCCUGGGACCAUCAUCCCGAUGAGGUGAAUUAUCCCCCUGAAACCUGCCUACAAAGAGAAUUGGGUCUUAUAUCUAGAUCCAUCAUCUGACUCUUUUCGUUUUCCUGCAGAGAUAUUGCUGGAGCAUGACAUAUAAGAUUCAUUUCAAAAAGUGAAUCUGAGAAAAUAUAGAAGCUGUGACCUUAAUAGUUUACAUUAAAAAAAAAAAGACUACCAAAGUGUGGAUAAUUGCAAGGGGCAGAAGAGCAGUUAUAAUGGCCUUCAUCAAUGUUUGUCAACUACCCAUAGCAAAACCUGUCAAUGAAAUAAAUGUGGCAAAGCUUUUGAGUUGUGCUCAGUCUUUACUGAACAUAAGAAAAUUUUCAGCAUAGAGAAAUGCUACAAAUGUGAAGAAUGUGGCAAAGACUGUAGGUUGUUCUCAGAUAUUACUAUACAGAAGUGAAUUCAUACUGCAGAGAGAUGCUACAGACAUCAACAAUGUGGCAAAGCCUGAAAAUAUCUCAAAUGUUACUGAAUAUAAGAGAGCUCAUGCUGGGAUAUCUAACAAAUGCAAUGAAUGUGGCAAAACAUUUACCUGCUCCUCAACCUUUAUUAAACAAAGAGAAAUCAUACUGGAGACAAACCCUACAUAUGCGAAGAAUGUGGCAAAGCCUUUAAGUGCUUCUCUGACCUUACUAAUCAAAAGAGAAAUUAUACUGGAGGGAAAUCUUGCAAAUGUGAGGAAUGUAGCCUAUAGGUUGUUCUCAGAACUUGCUAAAUAUAAGAUAAUUCACACCGGGGAGAAACUCUACAAACGUGAAGAAUGUGAUGAAGACUAUAGUUGCUUCUCAGACCUUACUAAACAUGAUAAUUCAUAGUGGAGAGAAACCUUACAAAUGUAUUGAAUAUAAUAAAAGCUUUUAUGUGGUUCUCAGCCCUUAGUAAACACAAGUGUACAUCUGUGAAGAACAUAACCAUACAUCUGUGAAGAAUGUGGAACUGCCUUUACCUGCUUCUUCACCCUUAUUAACCACAAGAGAAUUAAUAUGGAAAAGAGACCUUCUGAAUGUGGAGAAUGUGGCAAAACCUUUAAGUGCUUCUCAGACAUUACUAAUCAUUAGAUAAUUCACACUGGAGAAAAACCCUACAAAUGUGAAAAAUGUGGCACAGCAUUGAGUUUUUCUCACACCUCAUUAGAGAAAAGAGAAUUCAUACUAGAGAGUAGAUUUACAAUUGUUAAAAAUGUGGAAAGUCUUUAACAAGUUCUCAUACUGUGUUCAACAUCAGAGUCUUCAUACCGAACAAAUGCAGUAUAAAGGUAAUGACUGUUAAUUCCAUGGCAGAAGGCCCAAACCAGAGAACUGGCCAGACAGUUCUGUUGCACCUAAGCAGCAUGUGCACUUUUCCAAGCACAUCUCAUUCCCUUCCUGACUCCAAUUAUUUCAACAGCACCUUCUCAUUUGCACCAGCCCAUUUUUGAGCCCCAACAAACUAUGAUUUUGAAAUACCUCUGAAGACCGCAUGAGCUAACCACUAAGGGUGACAGUGCUCUAGCCUACUCAAUUUCACCUGAGGGCAGAAACAAGGCAGGAGAGUCUUGUCACCUGGAUUCGGUGCUUAGGAUACUUUACAAUCUUCUUUGGAUGCAUGGCCAAGUCAGAAGGGUAACAUCAUCUGGGGACAGACUCAAGUAAUAUGGCACCACGUCUAUGGUAGAAAAGGUUGAAGAAAAACAGGAGAAUCACAUCACCUAGGUGUUGGGCUUAGCAAUAUGAAAUAAUCCCCUCUUUUGGCCAACUCCAGAAUAAAGAAGUGUGUUGCAUUACCUAGGUUUUGCCCUCAGUGGUAUGUCAC
Molecule: long non-coding RNA, 4598 nt
Filed under: Homo sapiens (human)
Lineage: Eukaryota; Metazoa; Chordata; Mammalia; Primates; Hominidae
Description: HSALNT0409248
Source: RNAcentral